AUUGAACGCUGGCGGCAGGCCUAACACAUGCAAGUCGAGCGAGCGGCGGACGGGUGAGUAAUGUAUGGGGACUGCCCGAUAGAGGGGGAUAACUACUGGAAACGGUAGCUAAUACCGCAUACUAUCGGCUAACCCCUAUGGGAUUAGCUAGUAGGUGAGGUAAUGGCUCACCUAGGCGACGAACCCUAGCUGGUCUGAGAGGAUGAUCAGCGAAACGGGAACUGAGACACGGCCAAGACUCGUACGGGAGUACCAGUGGGGAAUGUUGCACAAUGGGGGAAAGCCGGAUGCAGACAUGCCGGGUGUAGGAGGAGGGCCCUAGGGUUGUAAAGUACUUUCAGUCGGGAGGCGUUACCGUUAGAAGAAGCACCGGCUAACGCCGUGCCAGCAGCCGCGGUAAUUC
RNAcentral lists this ribosomal RNA (403 nucleotides) under uncultured bacterium. Its description in RNAcentral is "partial 16S ribosomal RNA". It matches the Rfam family "Bacterial small subunit ribosomal RNA", at positions 29 to 526 of the family's 1533-position model. The record is from RNAcentral.